GUGCUCGAUUUGGCAGCACAUAUACUAAAAUUGCGAUGAUACAGAUUAGCACAGUCCUGUGCAAAGACACACAAAUCGUGAAGCGUUCCACUUCACA
RNAcentral lists this small nuclear RNA (97 nucleotides) under Peromyscus maniculatus bairdii (prairie deer mouse). Lineage: Eukaryota; Metazoa; Chordata; Mammalia; Rodentia; Cricetidae. The record is from RNAcentral.